Molecule: long non-coding RNA, 978 nt
Filed under: Vigna radiata
Lineage: Eukaryota; Viridiplantae; Streptophyta; Magnoliopsida; Fabales; Fabaceae
Description: long non-coding RNA (VRAD_LNC002970)
Source: RNAcentral
ACCCUUUCAUUAAGCUUUCUAUUAUUUGUGACUCUCUCUCAACAUUCUCGUUCACUCUUAGGUUUCUCUAGAUGCUUGAUUGGGUGUCUCUAUCAUUCCUUAUCUUGCCCUUUUUUCAGGCUUCAUCUUAAAACCCAAUUCAAAUCCCCGAAAGCAUAAAAUCAUCCUCACCAUCCUUGAAUUCCAUCUUCCCCCUCAACUCACCUCAAAACCGAUCCUUCCCCUCUUUAAUUCCCUUAUUUGUUUUAUCUUUGGAGCAAUGAAUGCUUCCUCGCGCCGUUAUGCUCAUCGUUGGGUCAUCCUGAUCAAGGUUAAAAGCCUUAAAGUCCUCAUCUGAAAAGGUUAUGAGAGGCAUAGUCCUUUGAUGUGCUUUCUGCACGUUAAUUCUAAAGACUCGCCUCCAUCGAACUGCCCUGAUAUUGUGUUGAUAUGCCUUUUAAGUUGAUGGUUGCUGCUUCUAAUUUGUCUCCUAAACCUAGAGGGCUUUUUAUGACGCUUGGUUAUUGACUCGCGUCGCAAAAUUUUGAAGUUGUGCCUGCGAGGCGGGUUCCUCUCCUCUCGCUUAGUCUUGAUGUAUUUAUGUAGGUAACCUGCUCGGAUCAAAUCUUUUAUCUUGUCGCGUAAAGUGAUGCAUUCCUUUAUGGUGUGCCUUAUAUUCUUAUGAAAUAGGCAAUGCUUAUUGCCAUCAACAUUUCGAGGAGUAGGCUUCUUCUUGGGAGGAGGAAACAACUCGACAUUCAAAACUGCUUCAAGGAUCCUUGCCUGGGAUGCACUAGGAAGAGUAUACUGAUAAAAUUGUUUCCCUUUAGGUAACUCCUUGGAACAAGUAUCACUCCUUUCCUAUGUAGUUUUUUUAUCUGCCUUCUUAUAAGAAGGUAAGGCUUCUUGUCUCAUCUAUCUUUAGAAGUCUCACCUUUCUUCCACCUGUAUAAAUUGAGCGGCUAUCUGCCUGAACUUUUCCAUGUCUUUAGUUGGCUU